GCUGGCGGCACGCCUAACACAUGCAAGUCGAACGAAGUAGCAAUACUUAGUGGCAGACGGGUGAGUAACAUGUAGGUAUCUGCCCUUUGGCCUGGAAUAACACGAGGAAACUUGUGCUAAUACCGGAUAAGUCUUUACGGAGAAAGCUUUAUGCACCAUUGGAUGAGCCUGCACUUGAUUAGUUUGUUGGUGGGGUAAUGGCCUACCAAGACUGUGAUCAAUAGCUGAUUUGAGAGGAUGAUCAGCCACAUUGGAACUGAGACACGGCCCAAACUCCUACGGGAGGCAGCAGUGGGGAAUCUUGCACAAUGGAGGAAACUCUGAUGCAGCGAUGCCGCGUGAGUGAAGAAGGCCCUUGGGUUGUAAAGCUCUUUCGUCGGGGAAGAAAAUGACUGUACCCGAAUAAGAAGGUCCGGCUAACUUCGUGCCAGCAGCCGCGGUAAUACGAAGGGACCUAGCGUAGUUCGGAAUUACUGGGCCUAAAGAGUUCGUAGGUGGUUGAAAAAGUUAGUGGUGAAAUCCCAGAGCUUAACUCUGGAACUGCCAUUAAAACUUUUCAGCUAGAGUAUGAUAGAGGAAAGCAGAAUUUCUAGUGUAGAGGUGAAAUUCGUAGAUAUUAGAAAGAAUACCAAUUGCGAAGGCAGCUUUCUGGAUCAUUACUGACACUGAGGAACGAAAGCAUGGGUAGCGAAGAGGAUUAGAUACCCUCGUAGUCCAUGCCGUAA
This 725-nucleotide ribosomal RNA is filed under the name uncultured Pseudomonadota bacterium. Its description in RNAcentral is "bacterial SSU rRNA". It matches the Rfam family "Bacterial small subunit ribosomal RNA", at positions 35 to 805 of the family's 1533-position model. The record is from RNAcentral. Lineage: Bacteria; Pseudomonadati; Pseudomonadota.